RNAcentral lists this ribosomal RNA (465 nucleotides) under uncultured bacterium. Its description in RNAcentral is "partial 16S ribosomal RNA". It matches the Rfam family "Bacterial small subunit ribosomal RNA", at positions 28 to 507 of the family's 1533-position model. The record is from RNAcentral.
GACGAACGCUGGCGGCGUGCUUAACACAUGCAAGUCGAACGGAAAGGCCCUGCUUGCCGGGUACUCGAGUGGCGAACGGGUGAGUAACACGUGGGUGAUCUGCCCUGCACUUCGGGAUAAGCCUGGGAAACUGGGUCUAAUACCGGAUAGGAGCCAUUUUUAGUGUGAUGGUUGGAAAGUUUUUUCGGUGUAGGAUGAGCUCGCGGCCUAUCAGCUUGUUGGUGGGGUAAUGGCCUACCAAGGCGGCGACGGGUAGCCGGCCUGAGAGGGUGGACGGCCACAUUGGGACUGAGAUACGGCCCAGACGCCUACGGGAGGCAGCAGUGGGGAAGAUUACACAAUGGGCGCAAGCCUGAUGCAGCGACGCCGCGUGGGGGAUGACGGCCUUCGGGUUGUAAACUCCUUUCGCUAGGGACGAAGCUUUUUGUGACGGUACCUAGAUAAGAAGCACCGGCUAACUACGUG